This 74-nucleotide transfer RNA is filed under the name Candidatus Woesearchaeota archaeon. RNAcentral's name for it is "tRNA-Ile". It matches the Rfam family "tRNA". Rfam says of the family: Transfer RNA (tRNA) molecules are approximately 80 nucleotides in length. Their secondary structure includes four short double-helical elements and three loops (D, anti-codon, and T loops). Lineage: Archaea; Nanobdellati; Candidatus Woesearchaeota. The record is from RNAcentral.
GAGCCCGUAGCUUAGCCUGGUGGAGCGCCGGUCUUAUACACCGGUGGUCCCGCGUUCAAAUCGCGGCGGGCUCA